RNAcentral lists this ribosomal RNA (418 nucleotides) under uncultured eukaryote. RNAcentral's name for it is "bacterial SSU rRNA". It matches the Rfam family "Eukaryotic small subunit ribosomal RNA", at positions 592 to 1013 of the family's 1831-position model. The record is from RNAcentral.
CAAUAGCGUAUAUUAAAGUUGUUGCGGUUAAAAGCUCGUAGUUGGAUUUCUGCGGGGGAGCGAACGGUCUACCUUAUGGGUAAGUAUCUGUCAGGCCCUUGCAUCCUCACAAAGAACGUCGCUGCGCUUUAUUGCGUGGUACGGAAUUUGUGACUUUUACUUUGAGGAAAUUAGAGUGUUCAAAGCAGGCGCUUCGCCUGAAUAAUGUUGCAUGGAAUAAUGGAAUAGGACCUCGGUUCUAUUUUGUUGGUUUUCGGAACUUGAGGUAAUGAUUAAGAGGGACAGACGGGGGGCAUUCGUAUGAUGGUGUUAGAGGUGAAAUUCUUGGAUCGCCGUCAGACGAACUACUGCGAAAGCAUUUGCCAAGAAUGUUUUCAUUAAUCAAGAACGAAAGUCAGAGGUUCGAAGACGAUCAGAU